This 477-nucleotide ribosomal RNA is filed under the name uncultured bacterium. RNAcentral's name for it is "partial 16S ribosomal RNA". It matches the Rfam family "Bacterial small subunit ribosomal RNA", at positions 28 to 506 of the family's 1533-position model. The record is from RNAcentral.
GACGAACGCUGGCGGCGUGCUUAACACAUGCAAGUCGAACGUGAUUUUUGUGGAAAUUCUUUCGGGAAUGGACAUGAAAUGAAAGUGGCGAACGGGUGAGUAACACGUGAGCAACCUACCUUACACAGGGGGAUAGCCGUUGGAAACGACGAUUAAUACCGCAUGAGACCACAGAAUCGCAUGAUAUAGGGGUCAAAGAUUUAUCGGUGUAAGAAGGGCUCGCGUCUGAUUAGCUAGUUGGAAGGGUAAAGGCCUACCAAGGCGACGAUCAGUAGCCGGUCUGAGAGGAUGAACGGCCACAUUGGAACUGAGACACGGUCCAAACUCCUACGGGAGGCAGCAGUGGGGAAUAUUGCACAAUGGGGGGAACCCUGAUGCAGCGACGCCGCGGGAGCGAAGAAGGUUUUCGAAUCGUAAAGCUCUGUCCGAUGAGAAGAUAAGGACGGGAUCAUAGGAGGAAGCCCCGGCUAAAUACGG